UACGAAGGGGGCUAGCGUUGCUCGGAAUUACUGGGCGUAAAGGGCGCGUAGGCGGCCGAUCAAGUCAGGCGUGAAAUUCCCGGGCUCAACCUGGGGCUGCGCUUGAGACUGGUUGGCUAGAGGCCGAGAGAGGGUGGUGGAAUUCCCAGUGUAGAGGUGAAAUUCGUAGAUAUUGGGAAGAACACCGGUGGCGAAGGCGGCCACCUGGCUCGGUACUGACGCUGAGGCGCGACAGCGUGGGGAGCAAACAGG
Molecule: ribosomal RNA, 252 nt
Filed under: uncultured bacterium
Lineage: Bacteria
Description: partial 16S ribosomal RNA
Rfam family: Bacterial small subunit ribosomal RNA
Source: RNAcentral